RNAcentral lists this signal recognition particle RNA (266 nucleotides) under Selenihalanaerobacter shriftii. Its description in RNAcentral is "Bacterial large signal recognition particle RNA". It matches the Rfam family "Bacterial large signal recognition particle RNA". Rfam says of the family: The signal recognition particle (SRP) is a universally conserved ribonucleoprotein involved in the co-translational targeting of proteins to membranes. Archaeal SRP consists of a 7S RNA and homologues of the eukaryotic SRP19 and SRP54 proteins. In most bacteria, the SRP consists of a 4.5S RNA and the Ffh protein (a homologue of the eukaryotic SRP54 protein). The record is from Rfam by way of RNAcentral. Lineage: Bacteria; Bacillati; Bacillota; Clostridia; Halanaerobiales; Halobacteroidaceae.
UCGUGCUAAACGGGGUGGUAGCGGUGCCCUGUAACCCGCAAUCCGCUAUAGCGGGGUUGAAGUCUGCCUAAGCAUAUUUCUUUUUAAGGUCAGGCUUAAGUAAGUGGUGUUGAAGGUUGGGUCCUACGCAACGGAGAAUUAUGAAUUCCGUCAGGCCCGGAAGGGAGCAACGGUAAGUAAUAUCUUCCGUGUGCCGUAGGGUUACCUGGCUCGAGCUAACUACUUAAGUAACGCUUAAGACGAAGUAUGUGAGGGCAGAUGCACGG